UGGGAGUUCGAGGCUUCAAUGAGCCCA
Molecule: non-coding RNA, 27 nt
Filed under: Homo sapiens (human)
Lineage: Eukaryota; Metazoa; Chordata; Mammalia; Primates; Hominidae
Source: RNAcentral